AAUAAAGGAAUACUGAAUGGUUUUCCGUGCAUGAUUGUGUGAUCCAUGCACGAGGGAUGUCGCGAGACUUUCAGAAAGCGUAAAAAUACUCAAGCCCCAGACGAGUGUAUUUUUAUGCUUUCCAAAAGUCGAGCAACAUCCCAAGUGCAUGGAUCACGCUAUCUUGCUUGGAAAACCAUUUGGUAAUUGUUUUAUA
This 196-nucleotide microRNA precursor is filed under the name Paramuricea clavata. The record is from RNAcentral. Lineage: Eukaryota; Metazoa; Cnidaria; Anthozoa; Malacalcyonacea; Plexauridae.